GAUAGUUCUCGCUCAAGACACAUGAUUGGAGACAAAGAAAAAUUCUCAAACCUUACCUUGAAAAGUGGUGGACAUGUGAGAUUUGGUGACAAAGGCAAAGCUUACAUCAUUGACAGUGGCUCCAUUGGGAAGAAUCCAAGCAUAAAGAUGUUGCACUAGUUGAAGGUUUGAAAUUCAAUCUUCUUAGUGUAAGUCAACUAUGUGAUAAAGGUUACAAAGUUAUUUUUAAUUCUUCAAAUUGUGAGAUUAGAAGUUUGGAUGAUGAUCAUGCAUUGUUCAUUGCAUCUAGAAGUGAAAUGGUAUAUUUGCUUGAUUUGAAUGAUAUUGAACAUGGAAAUGAAAGGUGCCUUGUGUCUCUUAAAGAA
This 365-nucleotide unclassified non-coding RNA is filed under the name Hevea brasiliensis (rubber tree). The record is from RNAcentral. Lineage: Eukaryota; Viridiplantae; Streptophyta; Magnoliopsida; Malpighiales; Euphorbiaceae.